GAUGAAGAACGUAGCAAAAUGCGAUACUUGGUGUGAAUUGCAGAAUCCCGUGAACCAUCGAGUUUUUGAACGCAAGUUGCGCCCGAAGCCUUUUGGCCGAGGGCACGUCUGCCUGGGCGUCACGCAUCGCGUCGCCCCCCACAACUCUCCGUAAAGGGAACUUGUGUUUUGGGGGCGGAUAUUGGUCUCCCGUGCUCAUGGCGUGGUUGGCCGAAAUAGGAGUCCCUCCGGUGGACGCACGAACUAGUGGUGGUCGUAAAAACCCUCGUCUUUUGUUUCGUGCCGUUAGUCGCGAGGGAAACUCUUUAAAAACACAAAUGUGUCGUCUCUUGACGGCGCUUCGACCGCGACCCCAGGUCAGGCGGGACUACCCGCUGAGUUUAAGCAUAUCAAUAAGCGGAGGA
RNAcentral lists this unclassified non-coding RNA (404 nucleotides) under soil metagenome. RNAcentral describes it as "partial contains 5.8S ribosomal RNA, internal transcribed spacer 2, and large subunit ribosomal RNA". The stretch from base 1 to 122 matches the Rfam family "5.8S ribosomal RNA", at positions 35 to 154 of the family's 154-position model. The record is from RNAcentral.